RNAcentral lists this ribosomal RNA (660 nucleotides) under uncultured bacterium. RNAcentral's name for it is "bacterial SSU rRNA". The stretch from base 1 to 541 matches the Rfam family "Bacterial small subunit ribosomal RNA", at positions 338 to 873 of the family's 1533-position model. The record is from RNAcentral.
CCUACGGGAGGCAGCAGUGGGGAAUAUUGCACAAUGGGCGCAAGCCUGAUGCAGCAACGCCGCGUGAGGGACGACGGCCUUCGGGUUGUAAACCUCUUUAGUAGGGAAGAAGCGAAAGUGACGGUACCUGCAGAAAAAGCACCGGCUAACUACGUGCCAGCAGCCGCGGUAAUACGUAGGGUGCAAGCGUUAUCCGGAAUUAUUGGGCGUAAAGAGCUCGUAGGCGGUUUGUCGCGUCUGCUGUGAAAAACUGGAGGCUCAACCUCCAGCCUGCAGUGGGUACGGGCAGACUAGAGUGCGGUAGGGGAGAUUGGAAUUCCUGGUGUAGCGGUGGAAUGCGCAGAUAUCAGGAGGAACACCGAUGGCGAAGGCAGAUCUCUGGGCCGUAAACUGACGCUGAGGAGCGAAAGCAUGGGGAGCGAACAGGGUUUAGAUACCCUGGUAGUCCAUGCGUAACGUACGGUACGUAGAUAGUAGGUACGACUACUACGUUACGUUGUGUCGUCGNGCGUACGUACGACUUAACGUUACCCGUCCCGUCGGGUACGGUACGGGUCCGGCCGACGGACGUAAACCGUAACCUAACGUAAGUAAGUUAGUACGGUACGUCGAGACGUACGUCCGACCGGACCGACCGACCGACGGGAAGGGUUAAGGGAG